Molecule: long non-coding RNA, 1051 nt
Filed under: Citrus x clementina
Lineage: Eukaryota; Viridiplantae; Streptophyta; Magnoliopsida; Sapindales; Rutaceae
Description: Citrus clementina (C. clementina) long non-coding RNA (CCLE_LNC002320)
Source: RNAcentral
AUAAAGAAUUUGAACUUUUUCUUGGAAAAACUAAGAAUGAAUUAAUGGUUAGACAAUAAUAUUAGUUAUGGCUCUUUAAUAGUAAGAUUAUUAAAUAUAGAAUUUGUUAAGAAUUCGUAAUUGUAAAAUAAUUACUAAUUAAGAGAGGGCUAAAAAAUAAACUUUUCUAUUAUAAGUUAACCCAGAAAUUUUAUUAAUUUGAGUAUAUCAUAUAAAUAAAUAAAUAAAAUGUUCCUGGCAAAUAUCCUUUUGUGCCGCCAUUAAAUCACAAUUGGACCGCAGCAUCCGCGACCACUUCGUGGAAAGAGCAACGAUCAUGACCGUUCAACAAUAUCUACAUAAGUGGACAAAACAGCUCUUCCCCGCACACAAAUAUAAUGAAAUAAGCAUUGUUUGAUACAUGAUUCAACUUUAACGUGUCAGGUUUUAAUAUUUAGUGUAGGGUUUUAAUAUUUAGAGCCCGUUUGAGAAUGUGAUUAAGAGAUUUAAAAGUAAUUUUGAAGAAAUAAAAAUUAAUUUUAGUGUUUGAUAAAUUUUUUUAGAAAUUACUUUUGCAAAAUCACCCUAUUUUACAUCAGAUUUUGAAAAAUAAAAAAUGAGUAAUUUUUUAAAUUUUAAUUUUGAUAAUUAAUUUUAUACAUAAUCCAAUUCUAAAUAUAUUCUCAUAUAUAUUAUAAAAUUUUAAAAUUAUCCUUAUUAAUUAAGAAAUAAAAUCGUUAAUUUUAAGGAGAUUAUUACUAUUACUAAUUUUAUUGAGAUAACAAAACAAAAAAAUAAUUUAAUGGACAUCCUUUCUAAAGGAAAGUCAAGUAUGCCAGAACUUGUAGCUUGUAGAUGUUAAUAGUCAAGAUUCCAUUAGUGUUAAGUGAACUCAGGUUCAUUAUCUCAAAUCAAGAUAUAAAAUAUUUAUUUUAGUUAUCAAUUCAAUUAUUUAUACUCUUGCAGUAGUUUAACAGCAAGAUUUAUCAUACACAUAUGACUGCUUUUAAAAUUCAAAUAAGUUUUACCAAAUGUUUAAUUUUUAUUUUGAGAAUAUCAAAUAUUUAAUUGA